AGGGGGUGCUANCAUGCAAGUCGAGCGAACGGACGAGAAGCUUGCUUCUCUGAUGUUAGCGGCGGACGGGUGAGUAACACGUGGAUAACCUACCUAUAAGACUGGGAUAACUUCGGGAAACCGGAGCUAAUACCGGAUAAUAUUUUGAACCGCAUGGUUCAAAAGUGAAAGACGGUCUUGCUGUCACUUAUAGAUGGAUCCGCGCUGCAUUAGCUAGUUGGUAAGGUAACGGCUUACCAAGGCAACGAUGCAUAGCCGACCUGAGAGGGUGAUCGGCCACACUGGAACUGAGACACGGUCCAGACUCCUACGGGAGGCAGCAGUAGGGAAUCUUCCGCAAUGGGCGAAAGCCUGACGGAGCAACGCCGCGUGAGUGAUGAAGGUCUUCGGAUCGUAAAACUCUGUUAUUAGGGAAGAACAUAUGUGUAAGUAACUGUGCACAUCUUGACGGUACCUAAUCAGAAAGCCACGGCUAACUACGUGCCAGCAGCCGCGGUAAUACGUAGGUGGCAAGCGUUAUCCGGAAUUAUUGGGCGUAAAGCGCGCGUAGGCGGUUUUUUAAGUCUGAUGUGAAAGCCCACGGCUCAACCGUGGAGGGUCAUUGGAAACUGGAAAACUUGAGUGCAGAAAGAGGAAAGUGGAAUUCCCAUGUGUAGCGGNUGAAAAUGCGCAGAGAUAUGGAGGAACCACCAGUGGCGAAGGCGACUUUCUUGGUCUGUAACUGACGCUGAUGUGCGAAAGCGUGGGGAUCAAAACAGGAUUAGAUACCCUGGUAGUCCACGCCGUAAACGAUGAGUGCUAAGUGUUAGGGGGUUUCCGCCCCUUAGUGCUGCAGCUAACGCAUUAAGCACUCCGCCUGGGGAGUACGACCGCAAGGUUGAAACUCAAAGGAAUUGACGGGGACCCGCACAAGCGGUGGAGCAUGUGGUUUAAUUCGAAGCAACGCGAAGAACCUUACCAAAUCUUGACAUCCUUUGACAACUCUAGAGAUAGAGCCUUCCCCUUCGGGGGACAAAGUGACAGGUGGUGCAUGGUUGUCGUCAGCUCGUGUCGUGAGAUGUUGGGUUAAGUCCCGCAACGAGCGCAACCCUUAAGCUUAGUUGCCAUCAUUAAGUUGGGCACUCUAAGUUGACUGCCGGUGACAAACCGGAGGAAGGUGGGGAUGACGUCAAAUCAUCAUGCCCCUUAUGAUUUGGGCUACACACGUGCUACAAUGGACAAUACAAAGGGCAGCGAAACCGCGAGGUCAAGCAAAUCCCAUAAAGUUGUUCUCAGUUCGGAUUGUAGUCUGCAACUCGACUACAUGAAGCUGGAAUCGCUAGUAAUCGUAGAUCAGCAUGCUACGGUGAAUACGUUCCCGGGUCUUGUACACACCGCCAGUCACACCACGAGAGUUUGUAACACCCGAAGCCGGUGGAGUAACCUUUUAGGAGCUAGCCUCGAAG
This 1445-nucleotide ribosomal RNA is filed under the name bacterium NLAE-zl-P150. RNAcentral's name for it is "bacterial SSU rRNA". It matches the Rfam family "Bacterial small subunit ribosomal RNA". The record is from RNAcentral.